This 259-nucleotide ribosomal RNA is filed under the name uncultured prokaryote. RNAcentral's name for it is "partial 16S ribosomal RNA". It matches the Rfam family "Bacterial small subunit ribosomal RNA", at positions 524 to 782 of the family's 1533-position model. The record is from RNAcentral.
UACGUAGGUGGCAAGCGUUGUCCGGAUUUAUUGGGCGUAAAGCGAGCGCGGGCGAUUCCUUAAGUCUGAUGUGAAAGCCCACGGCUCAACCGUGGAAGGUCAUUGGAAACUGGGGAACUUGAGUGCAGAAGAGGAGAGUGGAAUUCCAUGUGUAGCGGUGAAAUGCGUAGAUAUAUGGAGGAACACCAGCGGCGAAGGCGACUCUCUGGACUGUAACUGACACUGAGGCACGAAAGCGUGGGGAGCAAACAGGAUUAGA